This 107-nucleotide microRNA precursor is filed under the name Marmota monax (woodchuck). The record is from RNAcentral. Lineage: Eukaryota; Metazoa; Chordata; Mammalia; Rodentia; Sciuridae.
AUGUGAAUCACCUGGACAUCUUGUUAAGAAAAUGCAGUUUUCUGUUUAGUAGGUCUGAGUGAGAUCUGAGAUUCUGCUUUUCUAACAAGCUCCCAGGGGAUGUUGAG